AUUGAACGCUGGCGGCAGGCCUAACACAUGCAAGUCGAGCGGAUGACGGGAGCUUGCUCCUGGAUUCAGCGGCGGACGGGUGAGUAAUGCCUAGGAAUCUGCCUGGUAGUGGGGGACAACGUUUCGAAAGGAACGCUAAUACCGCAUACGUCCUACGGGAGAAAGCAGGGGACCUUCGGGCCUUGCGCUAUCAGAUGAGCCUAGGUCGGAUUAGCUUGUUGGUGAGGUAAUGGCUCACCAAGGCGACGAUCCGUAACUGGUCUGAGAGGAUGAUCAGUCACACUGGAACUGAGACACGGUCCAGACUCCUACGGGAGGCAGCAGUGGGGAAUAUUGGACAAUGGGCGAAAGCCUGAUCCAGCCAUGCCGCGUGUGAGAAGAAGGUCUUCGGAUUGUAAGCACUUUAAGUUGGGAGGAAGGGUUGUAGAUUAAUACUCUGCAAUUUUGACGUUACCGACAGAAUAAGCACCGGCUAACUCUGUGCCAGCCGCCGCCGUAA
Molecule: ribosomal RNA, 499 nt
Filed under: uncultured bacterium
Lineage: Bacteria
Description: partial 16S ribosomal RNA
Rfam family: Bacterial small subunit ribosomal RNA
Source: RNAcentral